GUUCAGAACGUCGUGAGACAGUUCGGUCCCUAUCCGUCGUGGGCGUAGGAAAUUUGAGAGGAGCUGUCCUUAGUACGAGAGGACCGGGAUGGACAUACCUCUGGUGUACCAGUUGUCGUGCCAACGGCAUAGCUGGGUAGCUAUGUGUGGACGGGAUAAGUGCUGAAAGCAUCUAAGCAUGAAGCCCCCCUCAAGAUGAGAUUUCCCAACUUCGGUUAUAAGAUCCCUCAAAGAUGAUGAGGUUAAUAGGUUCGAGGUGGAAGCAUGGUGACAUGUGGAGCUGACGAAUACUAAUCGAUCGAAGACUUAAUCAAAA
This 316-nucleotide ribosomal RNA is filed under the name Staphylococcus aureus. RNAcentral's name for it is "bacterial LSU rRNA". It matches the Rfam family "Bacterial large subunit ribosomal RNA", at positions 2609 to 2925 of the family's 2925-position model. Lineage: Bacteria; Bacillati; Bacillota; Bacilli; Caryophanales; Staphylococcaceae. The record is from RNAcentral.